UUAACGAUGAAGAGUUUGAUCCUGGCUCAGGAUGAACGCUAGCGGCAGGCCUAACACAUGCA
This 62-nucleotide ribosomal RNA is filed under the name Confluentibacter flavum. RNAcentral's name for it is "Confluentibacter sp. 3B partial 16S ribosomal RNA". Lineage: Bacteria; Pseudomonadati; Bacteroidota; Flavobacteriia; Flavobacteriales; Flavobacteriaceae. The record is from RNAcentral.